ACAUUCUUGAUUACUUAAUUGAUGCAGCCAAGAAAUCCAGUAACAAAAAUGAAGUACAUGAAGCCGAAUAUGGCGGGUACCCUGGUGAUGGCGAUGGAUACCCUGGCGGCGGCCGUGGUGGUGUUGGUGGCGGAUACCCUGGCGGUGGCCAUGGUGGCGGUGGUGGUGGCCGUGGUGGUGGUGGAUACCCUGGCCAUGGUGGUGGUGGUGGAUACCCUGUCGGUGGUAGUAAAUACUCAGGCAACCGUGGUGGUGGCGGCCGGAAGUGUUGCUCCUAGAUACAAAGGUGAAUAAAUAGUAAUAUAUACUUAUAUCACCUUGUACUAAUUAGUGGCAAGAUGUAGUAGUAAUAUUCUUGCUGCUUUAAAUUUGGAGCUUAUUGUAAGAAUUAUUAUCAUGAAAUAAAAGCCAUCAUGUAAUGUUUGUUAAUUAUGCUAUGGUAUGAUAAUACUUUCCUUUGGUGUUUUACUUAUGGGCGGAAUUCUUAUUUCAUAUUAUUAUAAUUUGUUUCAAUUAACCGUUCACUAUUAUUAUCAAUAUCAAGUAUCAAUAUACAUCAAUAGUGUAAAUUUGCUUAUAUUUUUCUCUUCGAUUUCCGUGGAACUCAUCACACAUUUAUUAUGAAACAUACUUAUAAUGUCCAAAAACUAUGUAAAUUUAGAUUAGGCAAAAUUGAGGGCAUUUAUUAUUCUACGAUUUUCUCAAAUGUUUUGAAUUAUUGAUUAUUGUAGCUCUUUUUUGAAAAACUAAUUAUAGUAGUAUGACUUAUAAUACUUGGUAUUUGGGUCAAAAUAUGUGAUUUUAAAAAAAAAAAUUGGAAAAAUCAAUAUAUGUCUGAAUUCACAAAAAAAAUUCGAAAAUGAUAAUCGAAUUAUAAAAUGAAAUAGGCUUCAUUGUUGGAUUUUAUUAUAAGAAGCAUCACUGUGAAGACAAUCUAGCUACAAACUCUCAUUCCUUGAUAAAAUGAUUAAUUCUCAAACAUUACUAGAAAUUUGCACACCAUUUUUUUAAACCAUAUUUUGCUCCAUAUAUACCUCAUAUUUUGAUAGGAUCAACAAGCAAUAAAAGUAAUUUAUUUUGCUAUGCCAAUAUUUUAUUUAAUAAUAAUUUUAAUUGAGUGAUUUUAUUGAUAGAAAUGUCUAAGUUUAGUGAUUUUAUUGAUACAAAACAAAGUUCAAUGACUUUGUUAGAUAAAUUCUCAAAGUUGGGUGACCUUUUGAGAUAUUAACUCUAUAAUAUGACGACCCUUUCAGUAUAUUGCUUUAGUUAUUGCACUACCGAGAAAUCUAUGAUUUCUAUUCAUAAUUUUAUCAAAUCCGGAGUUAUUCGGACUCCAUUAUAAUAAAAUCAAACCACCGUAAAAUUAAAUACAUAUAGCAUAUACAUAUCAUUUGUAGCCUAAGUAUUUUUUUCAUCUAGUAAUUGUAAGGAGUGAUGCAACUUUGAUUUUACAUGUGUUCAAACUUUUGUAUUGCUCUUUGAUUUCCUUGGUGUCCACAUUGCUUAAUGUCUUAUUAGAACGGGAGCUGUUUAUCCAAUUUUAGACCUUGAGCUACAUGUCAACAAAGGUGGAGUAGAAGGACUUCUGACAUUUACAAAAGUGUUGUAAACCUUGUGAUUAAAGGUACUAUCAAAGGAAAGAAAUGUGUUUUGUAAUAGAAAGUGUCAACAAUGAGCUAACCUAUUGAAAGUUAUGUUGGAAGAGUUUCUUUGAUUUUUGCAGAUAGGAGUGAGCUCAUAGAAAUUUAUAAAUCAAUUCAAUCAUAGAACAAUAUUAAGUAACUAAUUUUACAAGAUCCAAUGAGAAGCAUAGGCUAUAAAGUGAACAUAAUUUUUUUUGUAGAACAUAAUUGUGUUACUUACCUUUCCAAAUUUUGUUCAUAAAUUUUUCCGUAUUCUAAUCAAACGCAUCUUAUAAAUGGACAGUAAUCAAAUGACCAUAUUUGAGAUCACUACAUCAAAAAUAAUCAUUAGCAAAAAUUAAUUUUUAAUUGCCGUUAAAUAUGUAUUUUUAGCGGCAAUUAGCACUCUUUGUAUAUGUCCCUAAAGUCUUUAACGACAUUGGUUCUAAUAGCACUUAACUAAUACCGGUAAAGACUUUAACACUCUUUAUUACUGUCAAUAUUUAUUGCCGCUAAAAGUUAUUUUUGUUGUAGUGGAUACACCCAGUGAAAUUCUUGAAUAUAUAAAGGAAGAAAGUCACUCCAUUCACUCGAGUAUAUAAAAGAAGGAAACUACUCGUAAUUUGAUAACCACAAAUUAAAAUUGAACUUCAUUUUUUGGGCACCUAGAUUUUGAUUCAAAUAUGUAAUAUAUUAUGCUCAAUAUUGUUCUAGUCCAGUUGAAAUCAAUAUUCAAAUUGAAUAAAUUUCAUAAUAUUAUGACGUAGAAAGUCAUAAUAAGCUUGUUUGGAUCAUGCCUUUCCUUGUUGCAUGCUAAAAUCACUAAAUGAUAUAAGACCUCUGACUUUCUUAAAUUAGUGUAUUGUUACAAAUUGGAGUAAUCCUCUCUUAGCAAUUUAGUUUAGGCCACAAGUUUUUGAGACUAAAAAAGACCUGAGAAAUCUUAUGUUUUUGCAAUCGACUUGGCAUUUCAAAAUCAUGUUAGGCAAAGCUUUGUAGUUUAAAGCAAUAUUUUUUAAAAAAAAUAAUAAUAACUUUAUCAAUGAGCUUCAAAAUGCUACAACAGAAAGGACAAUAUCUUUAUUAGCCUUUCUUAAUAUAGUUUAAUUAAUAUUAUUUAUUAUGUCUAAAUGUUAAUAUUUAUCUCAAAAAGUAUGAAUACAGAGCUCAAAUGUUAUGAAUGAAAAUAUGAUUUACUUGAUCUGUUUUCGCCUUCCCUUUCAAUCUUAUCUAAGCUUUGUAACUGAAGGCGUUAUUGUAUGAUCUACUUGUACGAUUUUUACGGCAUAAUAUCUCAUUUAAAACGUAAGAUUAAUGUGUCUACCAAUUCUAGAAAUGUUUAUAGAGAUUUAGGUACGAUAAUAAAAUGAUUAAGCUUCAUCUAUGAAACACGUGUUUUUCGUGAUAUAUCCCUAUUUCUUCUCAUUGAUCUAUUUUCUGUCCUAGCUUUAAGAAAAAAUGCUUUGCAAAAUGGAUGACCUAAUCUGAAAGUUUCCCAUUGAAACUUAAGCCACCAUAGGUAUGAUGUAUUCACAUCCUCUUUCCUUCUUUCUUUCUUAUCAUUUUAAUUGGGGAAAAUACAUAGAAUUCCCCCUGAACUUGGCACGAAAACUUACUUUAGUACUUAAACUACACGAAUGUUUCUUUACCCCCCCCCCCAAUUUAAUUUGAAUUGAAUUUAAUUACCCCUUAAAGAGUGACGUGGCAAAAUUUGUAUCACCAACUUUUCAUAAGCGGGUGAGAAAGGAAAAGACAUCAAAAACUGACACAUAUCAUCUUUUUAUUGGAUAACAUACUUAAUAAUUUAUUUUACUAAUUUUUAAAUAUUUUAUUUUUAAUUAACUUUUCUCUCUCUAUAUUUCUUUUUCUGCAUCUUCUUCUUCAUUUUUUUUUUCCAUUUUUGUUCUUUUUCUAGCAUCUUCUUCUUCUUCUUUUUUUCUCUUCUCAUAACUCUUUCUCUUUUUUAUUCUUUUCAUUUAGUUCAAAUAAACAUUUACUUCCAAAUAUAACUUCUUCCACAUUUUUUCUUCUUCUUUUCUUUUCUAUUUUUAAUCGUUUCUUUCUUCUUCUUUUUUACAAAAUUUUUGGUGUUUGAUUCACCCACCAUUUUUUACAUCAAAGAAGAUUAUUAGAUCUAUCAGUUUAAAUCGUCUUCAGAAUGAAGUUGACUUCCAUUAAAAAAAAAUCGAAGAUAUUGUUGGCAAAAUAUUAACUAUGGAGAUUUCCCCCAAUUCAUUAAUAAUUUUUCAUUUUUAUGCAAAUAUUUUUUUAAAUUUUUGAGGAAGGUGGUAUCGUAUAACUAAACUGAAAAUACAAUUGAAAUUUGAAUUAUAGUUUGUAUAUUGAGGAGUAAAUUCAUUGAUGGGUUUAAUUUUUGGCUCAAUAUUUUUAAAAAACAAUUAUUAUGGAGAUUUAAGCAAUUAAUUAGGAAUUUUGCUAAUGUACACGUGGACGAAUGAAAAACGCGUGUGACUCAACAACACUCAGCCUUCAACUAGGCUGGUGCUGGGAAGUUUGAAAAAAAUCACUUAAAAGAUGUUAAGGGGGUAUAUAAACAUCCGUGUAGUUUAAGUACUAAAGUAAAUUUUCGGACCAAGUUCAGGUGGGUUUUUAUGUAUUUUCCCUUUUAAUUGGCUUUCUUCCACCUAAUUCUUUCAACCAUUCAAAUUUAAUAGUAUUUGUUUUUGUUGUCUUCACACCUUCUUUUCCGAGAUUUAGUUUUACAAACAUAGUAUUUAUUAAUUUAAAUGCAUAAGGUGCAUUAAAUGCCUCAAAUUAGUUGAUAACGAACACAAAAUACAUGAAAAAGACAUAAUACAUGUAGAAAUCAAGAAUAUUUGCUAACAAACAUGUCAAAACUCUAGCACACAUAUUAUACACAUUCACCCCAAUUUCCAACACUCAAUAACAACUAUAAGCAUAAAAAAUUCAUUUGCCAAAACUUUUACAAACACAUAUUAUAUGCCUCAAAAGAGAAGUAGGUUAAGAACAACGUAAGUAGAUAGAAAAAUUCUCCUGAAAACAGAGCGAUAUUCAGCGAGGGAAGAAGAAAGCACUUGUGAAAAUUAAGGAGUAAAUAUCUCAAAGCUCAGUCGAAUUAUGUUGUAAAGUCAUUCAACUUUAUUUUGUAUCAAUGAAAUCAUUGAACUCUUUUAUAAAAUUAGUUGAUCAAAUUUACCAUAAAAAACAUUUUAACAUGAUAAAAUAAAUUAAUUGCUCUCCCACAUAUCUCAAUCUUUUAUAUGUUAUUCUUCUUUUCUGCAAUAAUUACAAAAAAAUUACUCUCCAUUUCAAAAAAUUACAAUCAUGGAUCAAUGAAUUAAGUGUAAGAUAUGAAUUUUUUUUUAAAUUAUUGGUGAAAUUAUUUUUAAAUAUAAUACGAACAAUAUAAUAUGGGAAGAGGAGAAAGUGGAUACCUCAUCACGUUCAGUUUUCAUACGUUCCCUCGAAUGGGUUCGAUUCGCUUCACAAAUUUACUAAAAAGUUCAAAAUUCAUGCCAAUUGUUUUUAACUUGUUCAUGACUUUUAAAUAUUUUAAGAAGUUUCUCGUAAAUAUAUUUUAAAAAAUAAUGAUUUUAUCUUGUAGAAUAAUUUUUAUGGUAAGUUUGAUCGAGUUAUUUUAUAAAAGAAAUAUUCAAAGUUGAGUGAUUUUAUUGAUAUAAAACAAAGUUGAAUAAUUUUACAAUAUAAUUUCUCAAAGUUGAAUGACCUUUUGAGAUAUUUACUCGAAAAUUAAGAGAAAUUUAACGCUUUUGGAAUUAUGAUACUGUAAGGGAAAAAUGGAUCAUUCCAUAGAUAAUAUAAAAAGCAUCUAUGUGUUACACAUAAUACAUGUGUCUUUGUGAUAUGAGUGAGGUAAGCUUAAGAAAAUUACAGAUUUGUCCUUGUUGGUCCUUCCCAACUCCCUACAUAGUACACAUGUCUUUGUGAAAUGAGUGGGGAGUAGUACUUGUUUAAUGAAAUGGCCCCCAAUACAGUACAACUUGUAUUACCUUUGGUACAUCUAUUUGAUGCUAUGUUAGUCCCACUAACUAUAGUACAUGUGUCUUUGUGAUAUGAGUGGGGUAAGCUUAAGAAAAUUACAGAUUUGUCCUUGUUGUUCCUUCCCAACUCCCUACAUAGUACAUGUGUCUUUGUGAAAUGAGUGGGGAGUAGUACUUGUUUAAUGAAGUGGGCUGGUACAACUUAUAUUACCUUUGGUUCAUCUAUUUGAUGUUGUGUUAGUCUCAUCAACUCCCACUUAUAUAUAGGAGUAAUAUUGAAUUUCAAAAUUUUAAUUAUAUCACAUGACACAAAUUUCGGCAGACGAACUAUAACACUGAUAUGCUUCAUCUUUCCGAUGCCCAAAUGGCAAUCACUAUUAAAAAAAAACUCAACGGAUGUUAGUAAUACAAGUAUUUCAAACAUACCAAUAAGUAGUAUUUAUUUGGUAUUAAACAAAAAUAUUUCCUCCGUUUUAAUUUAUUUAUUUGGUUUUGACGUAUGCAGAUUUUAAAAAAAACCAAAGAGAAUUUUUGAAUCUUAUGGUUUAGAAUUUUUGAAUCUUCCGGUAUUAAACAUACCAAUAAGUAGUUGCCGAAGAAGGAAAGUGUCAUUUUUUUUUAGGCCUAAAAAAAGUAAGACAAAUAAAUCGGAAAUAAUAUUUUUUGAAAAAAAAAAACAAGUUAAGAAUAACAUUCUUGAUUACUUAAUUGAUGCAGCCAAGAAAUCCAGUAACAAAAAUGAAGUACAUGAAGCCGAAUAUGGCGGGUACCCUGGUGAUGGCGAUGGAUACCCUGGCGGCGGCCGUGGUGGUGUUGGUGGCGGAUACCCUGGCGGUGGCCAUGGUGGCGGUGGUGGUGGCCGUGGUGGUGGUGGAUACCCUGGCCAUGGUGGUGGUGGUGGAUACCCUGUCGGUGGUAGUAAAUACUCAGGCAACCGUGGUGGUGGCGGCCGGAAGUGUUGCUCCUAGAUACAAAGGUGAAUAAAUAGUAAUAUAUACUUAUAUCACCUUGUACUAAUUAGUGGCAAGAUGUAGUAGUAAUAUUCUUGCUGCUUUAAAUUUGGAGCUUAUUGUAAGAAUUAUUAUCAUGAAAUAAAAGCCAUCAUGUAAUGUUUGUUAAUUAUGCUAUGGUAUGAUAAUACUUUCCUUUGGUGUUUUACUUAUGGGCGGAAUUCUUAUUUCAUAUUAUUAUAAUUUGUUUCAAUUAACCGUUCACUAUUAUUAUCAAUAUCAAGUAUCAAUAUACAUCAAUAGUGUAAAUUUGCUUAUAUUUUUCUCUUCGAUUUCCGUGGAACUCAUCACACAUUUAUUAUGAAACAUACUUAUAAUGUCCAAAAACUAUGUAAAUUUAGAUUAGGCAAAAUUGAGGGCAUUUAUUAUUCUACGAUUUUCUCAAAUGUUUUGAAUUAUUGAUUAUUGUAGCUCUUUUUUGAAAAACUAAUUAUAGUAGUAUGACUUAUAAUACUUGGUAUUUGGGUCAAAAUAUGUGAUUUUAAAAAAAAAAAUUGGAAAAAUCAAUAUAUGUCUGAAUUCACAAAAAAAAUUCGAAAAUGAUAAUCGAAUUAUAAAAUGAAAUAGGCUUCAUUGUUGGAUUUUAUUAUAAGAAGCAUCACUGUGAAGACAAUCUAGCUACAAACUCUCAUUCCUUGAUAAAAUGAUUAAUUCUCAAACAUUACUAGAAAUUUGCACACCAUUUUUUUAAACCAUAUUUUGCUCCAUAUAUACCUCAUAGUUUGAUAGGAUCAACAAGCAAUGAGAUGAGUCUGUCCAUAAAUCCACAAUUAGUACUUAUAAAAUCAUUCUUUUCGAAAGAAAGUGUCAAGUGUGUUGGAUUUAUAGCUUGUUCUACAGCAAACAUUGGUACUUGAGUAGGAUAGAGCAAUUCCGUGUUUAUAUCUUUCCAUGCAUUACUCAUUAUCUUCUGAACCUCGAUAUAUGUCUCUUGCUUUGAAACUACACGUUCUUUCAUAUAACAUUCAAGGAAUGAUGGUAUAUGUGUUCUUUGUUGUUCAAACUGCAUCAAAUAGAUUUUAAUAUGCUCAAUACAAUAAUAUAUUUAAUUUUUAUCAAAUUCAUUUAUUAUCUUACAUGAUGUCCAAUAAUGUCGUCCUUUAAUAGACUUAAUACUGAUGAAGCUUGAAGAACCGAAGAAUCACUUGUUACCCAUUCCAAAGUUUCUUUGGUUAUAAUAAAUUCCUCCAAACAUACCAAGGAAAUUGUUGCAAUCAAUUUGAUGGCAAUGCUUGUAAUUGCAUUUUCCAUAUACUCCUCACAUUUUGGAAAAUAGCAAGCAUUCAACCAUUGUGCUUCCUUGAAAUAUUAUUUCAUCCAUUUUUUCAUCUAUAAAGAAACAAUAUAAAAAGUAAAAUUAGAUAAUAAGCAUACUUUAUCUAGUUUUGGAUUGUAAUUUUGUCACGCUCCGAGCCUACAUCCUGGGCGGGACUGGCACUCGAAGACCAUUGCUGGCCACAAGUGAACCCUUGGUCUGGCUUACUUACUCAGUGGAAGACAAUAUUCAUACUUAAUGAUCAAUAACACUUAACUGAACUAAAUCAUAGGAUAACUGAGAAUGUUAAAAGCUAAACAUUCAACUUGGCCAAAAGUGGCAACCCAAGUCUUAACAAUAAGAAAUGAUAUUGAAAAAACUCAAAGGACUAACAUAUGACUGUCUAUGAAGCCUCUAAUGACCAAUGAGAUGGAUGUUGGGACAGACCCCACAACAUCCUAAUUAACUAAACUAGAAAGCAAUGAAAUGGAUGCUCCGGAAAGCAAGGAGGCUUACCAACAGACUCUGGACUGCUCACUGGAUCAACGAUGCACCGGAAUGUCGAUCCUAGUUACAUGUGUCUGCAUCAUAAUACGAUGCAGGCCAACUGACAUCAGUACAUUGAAUGUACGAGUAUGCGAGUUGGAAUGCUAAAAUAACAUAGGCAUGAAAGAAUUUGAGAGAAACUGAAGAACUUACCUAGCUCAACUCAACUCAACAUGACAGAAUUCAUUUCAAUAUAAAGCAGUUCAAAAGCAAGUGCAAUAUAAAGAAAAGUUGUUUAAAAACAUGAUAUCAACUCUGUGUGUAUACAAGAUACAAAUAACUCUGAAAUGUAUUUAAAAAUACAAUGAACUGAUGUAUAUAAAAAUACAAGAACUUAUGUGGGAGUUUCUCUAACCGACAACCAUCACUUAAGAGCUAUAGUGAUGAUACAACGAUCUNNNNNNNNNNNNNNNNNNNNNNNNNNNNNNNNNNNNNNNNNNNNNNNNNNNNNNNNNNNNNNNNNNNNNNNNNNNNNNNNNNNNNNNNNNNNNNNNNNNNNNNNNNNNNNNNNNNNNNNNNNNNNNNNNNNNNNNNNNNNNNNNNNNNNNNNNNNNNNNNNNNNNNNNNNNNNNNNNNNNNNNNNNNNNNNNNNNNNNNNNNNNNNNNNNNNNNNNNNNNNNNNNNNNNNNNNNNNNNNNNNNNNNNNNNNNNNNNNNNNNNNNNNNNNNNNNNNNNNNNNNNNNNNNNNNNNNNNNNNNNNNNNNNNNNNNNNNNNNNNNNNNNNNNNNNNNNNNNNNNNNNNNNNNNNNNNNNNNNNNNNNNNNNNNNNNNNNNNNNNNNNNNNNNNNNNNNNNNNNNNNNNNNNNNNNNNNNNNNNNNNNNNNNNNNNNNNNNNNNNNNNNNNNNNNNNNNNNNNNNNNNNNNNNNNNNNNNNNNNNNNNNNNNNNNNNNNNNNNNNNNNNNNNNNNNNNNNNNNNNAAAUCCUAGAUUCCCCUUUUACUGAUUUAAACGUAGAUGUAGGGCGUGAGUAUAAACUAGUCCAACACUAUGAUAGCCUUACAUACUUGAAUAAAACAAGGUUCUUGAAGAAUCUUGAAGAAGAACUUGAUUAGAAGCCUUGAAACCCUAGCUUGAAGGUAAACAAUCAAGAAGACCUUUCUUGAGAUUCUCGAGUUAGUUUCUUAAAAUCUCUAUAGCCAAAAAUUAUGAUUUUCAUGAGUGAAGAUGAAAAUCUGAUUGUUUUGAGCUUUUUAUUAGUUCAAGAAAUUCGUUGAUGGUUUUCUUGGAGGUAAAAAGACAAAAACGAUUAUUUUCAAUAUUUUCCCGUCGGCUAAUUCGUAACAGCACUGUAUAGGUUACUAAAAUAGUCAUAACUUUUUACUCAGAUAUUGGAUUGACAUGAAACUAGUGGGGUUAGAAAGUAGAUUCAAUUACCUUUAAUUGGAUAGGUUAUGACUCACGUAACUCUUAAUAUUCUAAGAGAUACGGUCGUUUAAAGUUGACCUAAGCAAAAUUUUACUUCAAAACUUAAUGAAACUUCAAGAACACUUAUCAAGAACUCAUCAAGAACUCUAAUCUUUAAAUUUCAUGAACGAAAUUACGCUAAAUAAAUCAUGAUUGGUGUGUGGGUGAAAGAACCCAACACUAUGGAAGCUUACAUACCUUAAUGGAUUGAAUCCUCGGCGAAAUUCCCAAGCAAUUCCUUACGACGACGAAGAAUCUAGCUUUUUCCUCCUUUUCUCUUUUCUUGCGUUCCUCCUCCAAAACCCUAGCUCUAUUUGGUAAAUGUCUAAAUUGAUCUAAUUCAGUUUAGACCCCUUAUUAAUUACCAAAAACGAUUUAAAAUAAGGGUAAGGAAAAGACCAAACUACCCUUUAAAAUCCGGAUUGGACAUUUCCUUAAUCCAACAGCCCAAUUUCCAAAGGGCAUAUCUUACUCCUACGAAAUCGGAAUCGCGCAAACUUGGCGGCGUUGGAAAGAUAGUUCCAAGAACUUUCCAACCAUAUCUAUAAUUACUCCUAACUCAUCCUGAGCUAGGAGUUAUGAUCAUUUGAAAAUGACAAAAACUCAACUUUUCUUGCUUACAAUUUUCCAGAUUUCCCUUGAACGUUCCAAAAACGAAAAUUUCCAGAUUUAAACUACAUUCUAAUUAUUUCUAGAUGCGGGAUGUUACAGAUUUCACUAAUUAUCACAUGACUUUUGUUUUAUCGUGUACCAAAUUCACUAAAUUAUUUUUCCAUGGUAAUUAUAUUUUCUUCAUACGUUCACACCGACAAGUAAAAGUGAAAAUGUAUUUUUGAAACACUGGACAAAUAAAAAUGAAUAGAGUGAGAGUAAUUAUUUUACAUAGAUUAAUUAAUGAGGAUGAGUUAUCAAGCAAGCUUAAUUACCUCAACUUUUGCAUAGUAGGCCCGGUCUGCUUUACCUUCUUUUUUCAAUUCAUCUUCUAUUUCAUUUAUAAUUUGCUAUUUCAUACAAUUUUUCCUAAUAAUAUACCACAGAAUUUAACAUGGGCCGGGUUCAAACUCUUAUUAUAAUAAUGUUUUUUUAAUGCGUCAUAAUUCAAUAUCAACAUUAAUUUAGGAGAUUUAUGAAAUUAUUUUAUCGCGGAAUUGAAUCCACUAUGACCAUAGUUUGUAUUAUCGAUCAUAGAAAUUAUCACAAAACAAAUUAAUCCUUUGAUUUCUCCAUACACUCAUAUUGUGUGUAUAUUUACUUUUAUAUGUAUACCAUAAAUAUAAAUAAGAGGACGCUAGUUAAUAUAUGCUAACGAGCUAAUUAACAGUAGUACUCUUAUGAAUAAAUCCGACUCAAUAAUAAUUUUCGAGUUUAGUGGUUGGUUGGUUGGUGAGCAUAAUUAAUUAAUACAUUUUUUUGUGAUAAGCAGAACUAACAAACAAGACGUUUUGUCAACACAAUUGGUAAGUGUCUGUUUGACAUUUUCCACAAGCAUUUAUUCGUCGGCAUUAAUAAAACUGUAUGUAUGUGGCUAUUAGAGCCUGUUAUCUUUUCAUAUAUAUAUAUAUAUAUACUAGAUAAUGUUGCCCGUGCUAUGCACGGGACCAAUAAUAUAAAUGGUGUGUUUUGGGGCUAAUAAUCGAGUUUUUGAAGCAAUUGUUUGCGUGGAUAAAGGAAUAAAUUUUUUUAUCACAAACCUGUACUUUCUUUGACGCUAUUUAAGGCAUAAUAAGACAACCCACAUACAACAUUUUUGAAAUAUUUUAUGUUGUCAAUUAUCAUGAUUUAUAGUAUUUUUACGAUAGAUUCACUUCAAGAAUCAGUGGAAUUUUUUGUAUUUUUUUUCAAAACAUAUUUUAUAUUGUCAAUUAUCAUGAUUUAUAGUAUUUUUACGAUAGAUUCACUUCAAGAAUCAGUGGAAUUUUUUGUAUUUUUUUUCAAAACAUAUUUUAUAUUGUCAAUUAUCAUGAUUUAUAGUAUUUUUACGAUAGAUUCACUUCAAGAAUCAGUGGAAUUUUUUGUAUUUUUUUUCAAAACAUAUUUUAUAUUGUCAAUUAUCAUGAUUUAUAGUAUUUUUACGAUAGAUUCACUUCAAGAAUCAGUGGAAUUUUUUGUAUUUUUUUUCAAAACAUAUUUUAUAUUGUCAAUUAUCAUGAUUUAUAGUAUUUUUACGAUAGAUUCACUUCAAGAAUCAGUGGAAUUUUUUGUAUUUUUUUUCAAAACAUAUUUUAUAUUGUCAAUUAUCAUGAUUUAUAGUAUUUUUACGCAAUUUUUAAAUAUAAAAAAAAAUAAGACAAAUAAAUUAAAAUGGACCCAAUAUAUGUUAUUUUUGUUGUGAAAUUUGGAGAGUCGUCCAAAUUUUCAUAUAUUUUUUAAAAAUGUUUUAAGUUAUUAAUUAUUGUGAUUUAUAAUAUUUUUAUGUAACUUUUAAAUAACGUACAUUACUGGUCACUUUGUCCUAAUUUAUGUGAUAUGGAUAAAAUUACAAAAUUAACCCUUUUAAAAUGUCUUUCAGAUAUUUUAAGUUGUUAAUUAUUAUUAUUUAUAAUACUUUUUUGGUAAUUUUAAAAUGAUAUGUGUUAUUUUUUCUGUCCCAAUAUAUGUGAGCCUGAUAGAAUUCUGAGAGUCAACGUAUUUUAUUAUAUAGCUUUUUAAAAUAUUUUAAAAUUGGUAAUUAUUGUAAUUUUUAAUGCUUUUUAAGUCAUUUGUAAAUGAUAUAUGUGCCAGAUCAGUCGAUUUUUUUAUAUGUUUUCUUAAAAAUAUAUUUGAAGUUAUUAAAUUGUUGUGAUUUAUAGUAUUUUUGCGUUAGUUUUGAAUAAUAUAGGUUACUCAUAUUUCAAUUCACGUGAAUAAUAAUAAAUAUUUUCAGUUGUUAAUUUAUUGUGAAUUCUAGAAAUUUUGACGUUAUUUUCAAAUAGUACAUGUUACUUAUUCUAUUCCAAUUAGUCAACCAAAUUCCAUAUAUGAUUUAAAAAUAUUUUUAAUUGCUAAUUAUUGUGAUUUAUAGCAUCUUUUAUGUAACUUUUAAUAAUAUAUAAUUUGUUCAAAUUCAUAUGACAAUGAUAAGAUUUCAAGAGUCAACGCAAUAAAAAUUUAAAUUUUUUAAAAAGUUGUACCUCUAAUAUAUUUUGUAGCUAAAAUAUACUCUCUCCGUCCACUUGUAUUUGUCAUGUUGCGCUUUUUGAAAGUCCAUUUGACUAAUUUUCAAAGUUAAAUCAGAUUGUAUUAAUGUAUUUUUAGAAAAAAAUUUAAAUAUGCAAAAUCUAUACAAAAAGUACUAUAAAUCGUAAUUUUUUGCCUAUGAUUAUGAUGAAAAAACACAUUGUAAAAUAUUAGUUAAAAUUCUUAUAGUUUGACUCUAAAAAGGAAAUCAUAACAAUUAAAAGUGCAUAGAGAGAGUAAUAAAUAGGUAAUUAAAUUUCAAGAAGUUUAAAAUAAAAGGUUGAAAAAAAGAAUUAGAUAGACAACAUUUAUUGAAAAUUGAAAACAUAUAAAUAAUAAAUGGGCCCAAAUGAGGUCAAACUUUUUGGCUUAAAUUGUCCAAUAAUAUAAAUUUUAAAGGUACAACCAUAAAAGAAGAAUGUACAACACUAGCAAGCACAUAUCAUCCAACAUUUGUCAUGUGCUAAGUAGUAGUUAUCCCCACUUAUUAUAUAUAAUAAUAUAUAUACAUAAUUUUAUGUUAAAAAUAUGUUUGAUACGAUAAAAAAAUAUUAUUUCAAAAAUAUUUAUAAUAUAAUCAGACAAACACUCUGAGGUUGGAAGAGGGAUGGAUGAAGGCGAGGGGGAUGGGGGGGGGGGGUGUUGAGAGCCUGUCGGAGCAUGGGUUUCGAGAGGAGGUGUGGUGCAUGGUAGGAUAGGGACGUAGAGACGAGGGUGAACUAGAGAGACAAUCAAGUUAGAAUAACACUAAUGUAAAAUUUAUUUUUUCCAUCAUGUAUACCAUUUUUAGAGAAUACAAGUCACUUACUUUUUUUUAAUAAAAUAUUUUUAGAAAAUUUUGACAAUGAAGAAACACAAAAGAGUCACAUGACUAUGUUUAUUUCAAUGCAAUAUAUUAUAUUCAUUUUUGUAUGAUAUAAAUCCAAUAAAACAUCAACAUUUAAUAUACCAUUUCCCCACAAGAGCCGUCGACUACUUUGCUAACAAAAAGAUUUUGGUGAUCUUAUAAUGUGUCCAAAAUGGAUAAUGAACCCACAUAAAUUCGUAUAGGGGUGUGCAAAAAUCGAUUUAACCAAUAAACUGAACCAAAAAAAACACUAUUGGUUUAUUGAUAUUGGGUUAUUGGGCUAACGGUUUUUAAACGGUUUUGCAAAAAAUUUUAUUGGGUUAUUGGUUCGGUUUCCGGUUUGAUAAUUUUUGUUAAUGGUUAAACCGAUAACCCAAUAAGACUAUACUAAAUUUAUUAGUCUUAUUGUUAAUGGUUAAACGAUUGUUACUUUCACACUUUUUCCUUUGAAUGUGUCUAGUGUCUAAACUUGCAAGAAAAAUGAUUGUUACUUUUAUGAUUAUUACUUUCAUGCCAAAUGCUGGAAAAAUCAUAUGGUUUAUUUGAAAAUUUUCUUAUCGUGUAUAUAAUAUAUAUGAGUAUUUUCUUAUUGGUUAAACCGAAAACCGAACCGUUAAGUACCAUAAACCGAUUAACCAAAAACCGAUAAGAAAUAUGUUAUUGGUUUGGUUAUCAGUUUGAAGUAUUUACAAACCGAAAACCGAUAAACCGAACCAAUAACACCUAAAACCGAACCGAACCGAACCGACCGAUGCUUGGUUAUCGGUUUGAAGUAUUUACAAACCGAAAACCGAUAAAUCGAACCAAUAACACCUAAACCGAACCGAACUGAUCGAUGCGCACCACUAAAUACGUACGGUUGAGAAAUAUAAUGUUUUGUAGUUUUGAAGGUCUGAUUGGAUUUAAUCAUUGAAAUUUAUUGAGAUUUUGAUAUUAAUAGGUUGAACGUCAAAUUUAAUUUCGUGUUCAUCUAUCAGAAACUUUCGGAUAAUAUAUUCUAAAAUUAAAACAUAAUUUAUAUUAAAAUCACAAUAAUCUGUCCGAUAAAUUUGUAGCGAGACAAGUCUUUAUCUAUCGAUCCAAAUUUAAAGAUAUCAAAUUAGACUUUUUAUGUAGAUAAAUAUGUAUCAGUUUGUUACAUGUACGUUUAACUUAAAUAUAAUGCAACAAAUUAUAUAUAGUACUUGUCAUGUGUAUGAACUCAAAUGUGAAAUCUUCACUAAAUUUCUUCAGCUGCCGACUGAAUAUUGGUCCACACAUUAAUUCCAUAAAUGCAUGUUCCCGCUCUAGGGGCGGAUCUAGAGUAUCGAGCGUGAAUUUUCAGAAACGUAAUAAUUUUUACAUAAAUCUUCUAUUUAUAUUAAAAAAUCUAUUAAUUAUAUAUAAAAUAUUUGUUGAAAAUCUAAUAACAAAAUAAGUUCUUAGUUCAAUGGUAGAAACGAAACCUACUUAAGUUUUCAGUGAGGGUUUAAUACUUUAAUUCCUCUUGGGUACUUAUAUUAAAGUCCUCUUUUAAAAUAAAAAAUAAAAAAUUGAGAUCGUUAAAAGCCCAUAAACUUUAAAUUCUGAAUUUGCUUCUGUCCGCUACAUCCAAAUAAUACUCUCUUCAAUCAUUUUAUCCAUUCAAAUCUUUCUAUAAAUAGAACCCAACAAUCUCUCAAUUUCAUCAUCCUUUAAUUAAUUCAAAUAUCAUAAGGGAAACAAAAAAAUGGGUUCCAAGGCAUUUCUGAUUCUUGGCCUUUUUUUGGCCAUAUUUGUAAUGAUAAGUUCUGAGGUUUUAGCUAGGGAGUUGGCUGAGACUUCCACCACUACUUCUGAAGAGGAUUGUAAGUCUAUCCAUUCAGUAUAAUAUAUUUUUAUAAUUUAUUUCGAAAAUAUUGAGUUCAGAUGAAUAUUUCUACUUGUGCUCUAGAUGCUAGCUUGACCAAUUAUUCUUACUAAUUGUUCAAUUUAUAUAAUUAGUUUUACAUUUUGCAUGUAUAUUACGAUAACAAUAAUAACAUAUUCAGUGUAAUGUCAUAAAGGAUAUGGGAAGGUGGUAUGUACACAACUAUACUCUUAUCAUGUGAAGAUAGAAAAGUUGUUUAAUUCGAUCCAUUCUCGACUCAAGUAAAACAUAAGGUAGUCCAUGCUGAACCUAAUGAAAUUUUGCAUAUAUAUUACUAUAUAGUAUAUUUUAACCUUCUGAACUUUGACGAGAAAUCUCCAUAUAAGUUAUGGAUUACAGAACUUUAUAAUGCAGAGUUGGUAUUAAACAAAAAUGUUCCCUCCGUUUUAAUUUAUUUGUUUGGUUUUGACGUAUGCAGAUUUUAAAAAAAAGUAACGAGAAUUUUUGAAUCUUAUGAUUUAGAAUUUUUGAAUCUUCUGAUAUUAAACAUACCACGUGGAAAAGCUAAAAUAAGGAGUUGCCAAAGAAGGAAAGUCUCAUUUUUUUUUAGGCAUAAAAAAUAGUAAGAAAAAUAAAUCGGAAAUAAUAUUUUUUGAAAAAAAAAAACCAAGUUAAGAAUAACAUUCUUGUUUACGUAAUUGAUGCAGCCAAGAAAUCCAGUAACAAAAAUGAAGUACAUGAAGCCGAAUAUGGCGGGUACCCUGGUGGUGGCGGUGGCGGUGGAUACCCUGGCGGCGGCCGUGGUGGUGGUGGUGGUGGAUACCCUGGCGGUGGUGGUGGCAGCCGUGGUGGUGGUGGUUGUGGAUCCCCUGGCGGUGGCCAUGGUGGUGGUGGUGGCGGCCGUGGUGGUGGUGGAUACCCUGGCGGUGGUGGUGGCGGUGGUGGAGGCCAUGGUGGUGGUAGAUACUCAGGCGGUGGUGGACGUGGUGGUGGCGGCGGCCACGGUGGACGUGGUGGUGGCGGCAGGAAGUGUUGUUCCUAGAUACAAAGGUGAAUGAAUAGUAAUAUAUAAGUAUCACCUUGUACUAAUUAGUGGCAAGAUGUAGUAGUAAUAUUCUUGCUGCUUUAAAUUUGGAGCUUAUUGUAAGAAUUAUUAUCAAGAAAUAAAAGCCAUCAUGUAAUGUUUGUUAAUUAUGCUAUGGUAUGAUAAUACUUUCCUUUGGCUGGGUUUGAGAGAGAGAGCGUGAGAUAGUUGGUCUAAUAACUAGUCCAACUUCCUUGUAUCUGAAAGCGAUGACAGGAUGUUAGGUCUAGUAAGGAGACUUUUUGGAUAAUUUACUUCCACGAAUAGAUUGUUAGGCUAAGAAGAAUAGGUUGGGAUUGAUCCCACCUUUGAAAGAGUGGUUUUGCUCUGUCAAUACGGUGUUUUACUUUUGGGCGGAAUUCUCACUUUAUAUAAUUAUUUAAAUUUAUAAUUUCAUAUUAUUAUAAUUUGUUCGACUAACCGUUCACUAUUAUUAUCAAUAUCAAGUAUCAAUAUACACCAAUAGUGUAAAUUUGCUUAUAUUUUUCUCUUCGAUUUCCAUGGAACUCAUCACAUUUAUUAUGAAACAUACGUAUAAUAUCCAAAACUAUGUAAAUUCAGAUUAGGCAAAAUUGAGGGCAUUUAUUAUUCCACGAUUUUAUGAAAUGUUUUGAAUUAUUGAUUAUUGUAGCUCUUUUUUGAAAAACUAAUUAUAGUAGUAUGACUUAUAAUACUUGGUAUUUGGGUCAAAACAUGUGAUUUUAAAAAAAAAAUUGAAAAAAUCAAUAUUUGUCUGAAUUCACAAAAAAAAUUCGAGGCACCAAUUCCAUGGCACUAAUGUCACAUCUGCAUGAAAUUAUACAAAAAAUAAAUAGUUUGAUUCUUACACGUGAUCAAAUUACCGCCACAUAAAAUGUAACGAAGGGAAUAACAUUGUUAUACUUUACCUCUCUAUUGCAUUUGUGAAAAGCUCAAGUUCAUCAAAUGUUGCAUAAGCAUCAAAUGUAUCAUCAACAAUGCUAAUGAUGGCAAUUAUUUUUCCUGUCAUUAUUCUUGCACGACUCUGUUGAGGCUCAAAAUGCAAUCCAACUGCUCCAAAAUAACACUCCACCAAUCUGUCUCUUGCAUAUGAAAAUUUAUUUGCAACAUCGAUAUUUUUCCACCAUCUAUAGUAUAAAAUAUCAAAUAUAUAUUAAUUAGGGAUUAGUUACGUAAGAACCAUAAUUAUGAGAUUGAAGAGGGUAUAAGAGUACUAAUCUUUACCUUGUAAGUUCGCUAAGCUCUCUUUGGUACACCUUUUGCAAAAUAUUGAAAUCCAAUUUCGCAAAUUUCAAAAGUAAAUUGUUACGUGAUUCAUCGUUCUCAUACAUAUAUAUGUUUUUCCUUGCUAACAAUCUUGGUAGAUUUGUAUGAAUGGGCUGGUUUAAGGCUUCACUAACUUGGGCCUUGACUGAGUUGCCCAAUUUAGGGGCCAUGGACUCCAGAUGAGUGACGGUAAAAGUUAGAGCUUCUUCAAGAAUUUCCUCUCCGUGUACUCUUAGAUGUGUUGCUUCGUAUAGACUUAAUAAUCCUUGCACAUCUUUAGUAAGAGUUUCCUUGAAUAUUCCGUCAUGAUUGGUGAAUUUUUUGAAGACAUCUGAUUUCACAUCAUAAUAUAAUUAUAUCAAAGAAAUUAAUAAAGAGCCACACAAAAUAGGAAUAAAUUAGUUACCAGAAGACAUGUAAUGUCUUUGUUGUCUCACUAGUCGAAAUUGAAGAGCAACAACGUAUAGAUCGUCAUCAUUUUUUAGACUCUUCAAAAAUGUUCUGAAUGGAUGUUUCGAUGUCAUUUUUGAAAUGAUAUGCCACUCCCAAUCGUUGGAUUGUGUCAAUCAAAACAAGUUUUUGUGUACUAUUAUUAGGUGACUCAACUAACAUUUGCCUUACUUUUUCUUUCAACUCUUCAUGUUCAUGUUUUUCUUUGCUACUAAUUUCCUGCACCAAAUGUUAAGUGUUAUUAUUUGACAUAGAGUAAUACCUCCAUUAUAUAAUUUAAUCAUAGGGAUUAGGGAAAAUAAUUAUUGCCUGUUUAUGCAACAUUUGAUUGACUGUAUAAGAAAAGGUUUGUAAAUGGAUACACUACCAAUAUAAUUGCCCUAUUAAUUAGGUCAAUUUAGCUAGGCGUUUGGACAUGAAUUAUAUUAAUGUUAUUUGAGAAAUAAUAAUUAGUAUUUGAAGAUGAAGUUUGUUGACACCCAAUUUUGACCUUCCCCGAUAAGAAUNNNNNNNNNNNNNNNNNNNNNNNNNNNNNNNNNNNNNNNNNNNNNNNNNNNNNNNNNNNNNNNNNNNNNNNNNNNNNNNNNNNNNNNNNNNNNNNNNNNNAAUUAGUUUAUAAUUAAGUUAAUUAUUUUAUUUCAUUGAAAUCAAGAAGCUCGUUAAUUAAUUAUAUUUAUUCAUCCUAUCUAAGUUUUAGCCAAAUUCACUAGUGAAAUACAUUGAUCAAAUCAAUAGUUCAUGUGGUUAUAUUAAAUGACCAAAACGUGGGCCUCUUUUACAAGUUCAGCAGCCCAUCUCUUUUUCCAAUUCCUUUUCACCUUUCCAAACCAAUUGGAAAUUCCCCACAACCCAGGCCCAUCCUCUGUUUCAGCCACAACUCCAGCAAAUCCCAUAUGUUACAACACCAAUGGCCCCAACGAUCCAGCCCAAUUCCCAUCCGACCCGGUCCACCAAUACACAAAAAUAACCCCAACAUUACAAUACCCACCAAACACACAAUACGUAUAGCAACACCCAAAACAGUACCCUGUGUUUUUCCCCAUUCCAGACGCGACAAAAGUCGAAACCCAGCGAUUCCAGCUCUAUUUUCAGCAAAGGGUCGUCCUUGCAGUUGUGAGAUGAGGCCACGUCGAGCUCCAAGGACGAUGGGAAUCGAUCCAGCCGUCCAUCCUCCAUUCCUUUUCCGGAAUGAAGUUGAAAUUUCAGAAAAAAGCUUGUUUUCCCCUUAAUGGUGUAAGUUUUUUUUGAGGAUUUGAAUUUCAAAUUGGGCCCUUCUAUCCGGAUUUUCAUCCGUUUUCCCCCCAUUUUUCGGAAUCAUAUUCUCCCUUCUAUAUAAUUGUUUUUGUUCACUGUGGGAAGGGGAGGAUUUUUUUUGGGAAAAAAAAUAUAGAAAGUUAGCCGAGCUUUACUCACAAAGGCAUAGUUUACAGGAGGUUUUGAGGAACACUCGAUUUUACGUUUUGAUAAAUUAUUGGAAAAACUUUCUAGUUCAAGGUUCUGGGAAGAUAGUUAUUCGGGUUUCAUUUAGUUUCUCUUGGUGUGCUGUUGGAACUCUUGAAGUUUUGUGUGUGGUGGUGGAAGCUCUCACGGCUAGCCUCGUCCCGUCCCCGUUCGCUGCUCGGAAAAGGUAAUAUCUCUUUUCUUCCGCGUCUUGUUUAGACUUUGGAUAAACCUGUUUCUGUGGAGUUCUUUUUUUUUGGGGUUUCAUUUUGUUCUAAUCUUAUUUUGAUUAGAAUACUCAUGGAUGAAAACUUGUUUAGUUUGAAUACAAGUGUUUAAAUUACUCCCGAAUAUGUCAUGCUUACGUUCUUGAGCGAUCCCUUUUUUAAAAACAUUUUUUCUGUAUCUAAUGCUAGUAUUGAUUCAAAAUGUUGCUGAUUCGUAUUCAAUGUUGUUGUUUCCCCUGCUUGCUCUAGUUUUUGCUUUUGCUUAUUCCUCUUAUCAAAUCCUCUGCUUGAAUCUCGUCGAACCCACUUUUCUCCACCCCUGCCCAUUUUAAAUUUAUCUUCACUUGUCUAUUUUUUUUUUAGCAUGAUUUGAUUUAUGUUUUCUGUCGAAGUUAAUAUCCUAAAUGAUCUCUCAACUUAGAUAUUUAUGUCAAUAAAAUCACUCAACAAAUUUAUCAUCAUUAAGAGAAAUCUGAAAUGACAAAAUAAUUUACUUUUUUUAUAGCAUGUAAAUAUGAAUUUCACAAAUAAAUAAAUUUUUAAAACCCAUUAAAACUUUUGACGGAUAUACUUUUUUUUACUAAGUAGGCGUUACUUAAAGGCGCAUAAUGUUGCUGCCAAUUUGAUUAAACUAUUAUAAAAAAUGGAAAGAUGUCUUUUAAUGAUAUAAUUUCCUAAUUGGAUUAAAUUAUUAUAAAAUAAAAAGAUGUCUUUUAAUGAUAUAAUUUCCUUUUUUUUAUGUUGAUAGAUUUGAACGGGUUAUUUCAAUAAAACGACGACACUAAUUAAUUGUUUAUCUAAUUUAUAAGCAUAUUUUAUUAAUACCAAAAAAAAUAAUAAUAAGUUUAAAGUGUAUGCGGUACUUCAUUUUAUUUUAUUUUCAUACACCUAUCAUAAUUAUUGCAAAGGUUAAAUACAUAAUAAUAUUACAAUACCCAGUUUACUAAUUAAGUUUGUUCUGCAUUGUUUAAGCAUGAGUAUCUUUCUCUAUAAUUUUGCUCUUUUAAUAACUUUUAAAGUUGCUUGUCACUUGCCUCUCCUUCAAAUUACUACUAUGUAUUAAGCUUUGGGCCACAAUAUUGAAAUGGUUACCAUAGAUAUAGCAGUAGCCUUAAUUUUCGGCAGUUGGGAUCUUAUACGUUGGAAAUCUGGCAUUCAAUUAUCAAAUGCCAUUGUGACUUACAUGUCUUCUAUCAACUUGUUUCUUUUUUUUGUAAGCUCGGACAAGUCUUUUCUUUUGGAUCUAAAAUUAUUAGUGUUUAACGUCAUGGAAUUAAUGUUAACAACUUAGUUUCCCCACUUCUCAAAUCUUUCAUUGCCUGACUGUUUAGCAUGAUGCGUCUUGAUCAAGUAUUUACUUCUUCUUCUUUUUCUAGCUAAGGAUCGCGUUUAGUGUAGUGUGACAUUGUUAGCUAAGCUACUGCCAGUUGUUUGCUAUAUUGAUAAGUCGUGCUCCUUUUUGAUACAUUCAUUAUUUAGUGAUUGGUUCAGAUAUAUUAUUGCGGGUUACUAAUUCUCAUUUUUGUGUUUGCAUGUGAAAUCUAUCCGGGUCCUCUGGAUCCCCUCCUUGUAUUCCUCUUUGGGCCAUGGAGGCCCAAUUCUAUUUUUAUCCGAGCCAGCCUAUUAAAAAAUUGACGAACAGGUCCCAAAGUUGAAAGAUGCCAUAUAUCGAGAAAUUGAAAGUUUGGGUUUUAAAAGGCCCACUCCUCUUUAAGAAUUGUAUUUUGUUAUUAUUGGGCCUAAGCCCUCGCCAUUUUACUUACUAUUACUUGUUAGUUCUUAGAACAGGUGAAAAUUGGGCCAAAGGCCCAAAAUGAAAAUGGGCCCAAAUACUGGCCCAGGCGGACAGAAAAAACCAGAUUUGGGCCCAAAUCUCUUUCCCUCCUUUAUUUGUUGUGUUUAUUUACUCGUCACUAUCUGCUAUUAGUCUUAAGGGUUUUAAAAUUUUCAAAUCCCCAAAAGACACCCAUUUUGAAUUAAUUACUUAACCAAUUAUUCGUCUUUACUUGACUUAAAUAAUAAAUAAAUAAUUUCACAAAAAUUUUUCACUUAGAUAAUAUUUCAAUAUUUCCCCCCUUUCCCCUUUAAAAAUAAUUCUAACUAUAAAAUAGUUCAAAUUUUUGCAAUUUAAGUUAAAGUCAAAAUUAUUUUAGCCAAAUAAAUUGAUUGUUGGAUAACCGCAUUAGCGGAUAUUCUAGGUGCCUUAAAAACCUUCCUAGAAUAUUAAUAGGAACCUCGAACCCCUCUUUAAAUAGUUUUCAAUAGAUUUACUGUUUUAGUCUUUUGAAAACAAUAGUUUUCUUGAUUUUUCUUAAAAAUUAAGUGGCGACUCUUAAACAAGUCCAAAAUAAUAUUUUCCUAAUAAAACAAAGUUGAAAAAUAGUUUGAAGUUAAAGUUGUAUUUGAACAUGCGUAUUUCAAAACAAGUGUUGUGAAUCCCGAAGAGAAUUGGUUUGUGAAAAACUCAUAUUAAAAAAUUAGCCAAAAAAUCGUACUUAUAAUAUGCAACUAAACACUACUCUGAAAAUAUUUUUAGAAAAAAAAGUAAUAGAUUGCCCCCGGCCUAGAGUUGUUCGAAAAAGUCACUUACACAUUGAAACUUUGGGGACAAUCUAUUACUCCCUUUAUUUUGAUUAAAAUGAAAUCAAUAUCCCUCAAAGUUCAGAUAGUCAACCAAUUGAAUUACUAUCCAUUUGUCCAGAACUUUCACCUAGUUUGACUACCUAAACAUUCAUACGAUUGGUGAGGGUUUGAACCUUUUUUUUUUUUUUAACAGCAAUGAAGAUUCUAUUUCAAAGCAAAAGGUUACAGAGGAGGACCAAACCUUACCUCAUGCAAGAGUAGCUAAAUAAAGCAAUUUUAGCUUCCAAAAAUAAAGCAAAAGAGGAAGAUCACAAAUAUAAAGCAUGCAACCACCAACGGAUGUGGUGAAGCAGAUAAGAUUGCUCCUUCCUUAACCAAAGAUCUCGGGUUUGAGUCUGGGUAUGAAAAAAUUGAACGUUUUUUCCCGAACGGAGUCCUACUCAGCACGAAUCCAAAAUAGUCAGACUCUAAUAAUGAGUGUGAAAGCAUUAGUUAAUUGUCAUUGCAUUCAAUGUUGUUAUAGGCUUGAAGGAAAUUUACAAAGAGUAUUAUUUACCUGUUGAAACACAUAUUUAGCAGCAAUCAAGCUAUAUCGUUAAUUAAUUACAUAAAUAUCCUCUCUUUUUUAAAUUUCAUACUUAAACUAUCACUCACUAAGGAGAAAAAAUGGGUUCCAAAAGCAUUUCUGAUUCUUGGCCUUUUUAUGGCCAUAUUUGUAAUGAAAAGCUCUGAUGUUUUAGGGAGUUGGCUAAGACUUCCACCACUUUCGAAGAGGACUGUAAAAUUAUUUUGAUCUUUCUAAUUAGUGGUUCACUAAAUUAAGUACUUAAUGUUCCUUGCCUCUAUAGGUGAUGAGGCAAUGGACAAAGAGCCACACAAUAGAUUAAGGAUAAUGCUAAAUGGCCAGAAAAUUUGGUCAGAAUUUGGUCAGAAUUUAAAAAGUCUAUAAUAUCCUUUUUACUUUAAAAUAAACUAAUCUUUUUUCCAUUUUUUAAUUAAAAGAUAUUAAAGUUAAAAGGGUAAAAAUGCUCAAAAAGAUAAAAUAACAUAGUGUGAACUAUGUUAUUUUAUCAUUCUGCAAUUUUCUGGCCAAAAAGAUUUUUCCAUAGAUUAUUUAUGUGGAUUGUGGAGCAAUAUAUUAAAACUAGAUAUGGACCUCGUGUUAGCACAGGGCCCAACAUAUAUUACGUUAAUCAAUUUCUUAACAUGUUUUUAUAUAUUAGAGUUAACCAAGGUUUUAUAUAUAUUUACAAAUAUAUAGAGAGAGAUUUUUUGAGUUGCUAAUUACUGUGAUUUAUGGUAUCUUUUUUACGUAAUUUUCACAUAAUAUAUAUUUCUCUUUUUGUGUUGAUUUAUGUGAUAUAAAUGAAAUUUCAAAAGUCAAUCAAUUUUUUUAUAAAUUCUUUUUGAUAUUUAAGUUAUUAAUUAUUGUGAUUUACAAUAUAUUUUAUGUAUUUUAUAUAAUAUAUCUCUCUCUUUAUCCCAAUUUAUGUGUAUAGAUGAAAUUUUGAGAGUUAACAAAAUAUUUUUAUAUCUUUUCAAAUAUUUUGAAGCUAUUAAUUAUUAUGAUUUAUACUACUUCUUACAUAAUUUUUUAAUAUAUAUAAAGUGAUAAAAGACAAAUUUUAAAAAAAGAAAACUUUAAGUUGCCAAACUACCCCUUGCUACAAGCAGGCAUGUUGAUGAAGAGUUGCCAGCUUGUAGCCUCAUCUAUAGUAUAGUAAUAAUAAUAUAUAUACAAGAUACGAGAUCCGUGCCAGCAUGGCCCAAUAUAUAUUAUUUUUAUUUUUAUUUAUGUGACACGGAUGAAACUUGAGAAGUUAUUCAAAAUUUUAUAUGAUUUUUAAAAAUAUUUUAAGUUAUUAAUUACUGUGAUUUAUAGUUUUUUUAAGCGAUUUUGAGGUAAUAUAUAUUAUUUCGUUUUUCCAAUUUAUGCGGCAUAGAUAUAAUUUCAAAACUUAAUUAUUUUUAUGUCUUUUAAAUUGUUAAUUAUUGUAAUUUGCAGUACCUUUUACGUAAUUUUUAAAUAAUUUUUGUUACUUCUCAUGUCCCAAUUUAUGUGGUAUUGAUAUAAUUUCGAGAGUUAGCCAAUUUAGUUUUUGUCUUUUAAAUUUUUAAGUUGUUAAUUAUUGUGAUUUAUAAUACUUUUAACGUCAUUGUCAAAUAAUAUAUGUCAUUUCCUCUAACCCAUUUUUUGUGUCACUCGUAGAAUUUUGAGAGUCAAUUGAUUUUUUUAUAUGACUUUUAAAUAUUUUAACUUAUUAAUAAUUGUGAUUUUGUCACGCCCCAAACCUGUACCCCGGAUGUGGCUGACACUCGAGAACCAUUGUUGGCCCCAAGCGAACCCUUGGUCUGGCUUACUUACUCAGUGAAAGACUUUAAGCAUUAUUAUAAUGAUCAAAUGCACUUCUACUCAUUGUUUAAUAAAAUAACUUAGAGCGUUUGAAGGUCAAACAUUCAACUUGGCCAAAAUGGCAACUCCAGUCUUAACAUAUGAAAUAAUAAUGUAAAUACAACUGAACUACUGAUUGUCUAUGAAGCCUCUAAAACAAGAAGGGAUGUCGGGACAAGACCCUCAAUCAUCCUAGCAAAUGAAAUACUAAAAGCAAAUGAUAAAAAGGAGCCCUCCGGAAAGCAAAGAGGCUCACCAACUGACUCUGAAUGCUUAACUGGAUCAACGAGGUGCUGGAUGAUGAUCUUGGUUACCUGUGUCUACAUCAUAAUAAGAUGCAGGCUAAAUGACAUCAGUACAUUGAAUGUACGAGUAUGCGAGGGGAAUUCUAAAACAAGACAUAAGCUUGAAAGAAACUGAGAACUUACCUGGCUCAACUCAACUCAACUUAAUUAACUGAACUCAUUUCAAUAUAAAGCAAUAUAAAACAAGUGCAAUAUAAAGAAAAGCUAUUUAAAACAUGUAUGUCAACUCUGUGUAUUUGGAAAUACAAAAAUACUCUGUAUGUAAGCAAAGAUACACAUAGCUCUGAAAUGUAUGUAAAAUACAAAUAAACUGUGUAUAUAAGAAUACAAUUAAUUAUGUGGAAGUUUCUCUAACUGACAACCAUCACUUAAGAGCUAUAGUGAUGAUACANNNNNNNNNNNNNNNNNNNNNNNNNNNNNNNNNNNNNNNNNNNNNNNNNNNNNNNNNNNNNNNNNNNNNNNNNNNNNNNNNNNNNNNNNNNNNNNNNNNNNNNNNNNNNNNNNNNNNNNNNNNNNNNNNNNNNNNNNNNNNNNNNNNNNNNNNNNNNNNNNNNNNNNNNNNNNNNNNNNNNNNNNNNNNNNNNNNNNNNNNNNNNNNNNNNNNNNNNNNNNNNNNNNNNNNNNNNNNNNNNNNNNNNNNNNNNNNNNNNNNNNNNNNNNNNNNNNNNNNNNNNNNNNNNNNNNNNNNNNNNNNNNNNNNNNNNNNNNNNNNNNNNNNNNNNNNNNNNNNNNNNNNNNNNNNNNNNNNNNAUUUACUCUUUACUGAAAACUAGCUCAAAGGCUCUUUUGGAAAUCUCAGUUUCCUUUCUUAUUUAACAUGUGAAAACAUUUUAACUAUUUGGGAAUACAUAGUCCCCAUAUACUUUGAAGAAAUGAACUUCAACUUUACUCUUUACUCAACUCAAAACUCAAGUCUUAAAACAAAGUUAAAUCAUUUGUAAAAGACUUUUAGAAGACUCUAUGAACUUCUCUUGACUUGGCUCUUAACUUAUCUUGACUUGACGCUUAACUGAUCCUUGAAUUGAAUUAUGGAUUCAAGGAUUGAGAUUUGUGAUAGGAAAGAUCUCAUGAUGUUUAGGAGUGUUUUUAGAUAGUUAAACAUGAGAAAUGAUCAGGAAAUCACUGUCUGGAAGCAAGUCCGCGACGCGGAGAUGCAUUUAAUUAUUUGGUCGUGAAAUAAAUUUUGAGGCAGAACGGUCCGUGACCGCUCCGCUCCGCGAAGAAAAAUUGUCAAUUCUGAGGAACAAGUCCACGACGCGGACCUGGUACCUAGAUUCUGCCGACUUGUUCCUUCUUCGUUUUCUAACCCCAAAUCACCUAAAUUCGAUUCUUUUUCUCCUAUUCUCUUUAGAUUCAGAUACCCAACAUAUGUACACAAGAAUCUAAUCAAACACAACUCUAAAAUCAACCUUAAAGUCUAAAGAACUCCACAAUCUCAUCCCAAAUUCAAGAAUGAAAGUAAAUUCAAGAACAUUCGAACUUUCAACUUUUAAGAUGAAUUCAUGCUGAAUUAAACAUGUUUGGCGCGUGAGUGAACGAAUCCAACGCUGUGUGAACUCACAUACCUCGUAGGGAUCACCCCUUGACGAAAUCCACAAGUGAUUCCUUACGAAGACGACGAAUCUUGAACUUUCUUCUCCUUCUCCUCUUUUCUCUUUUCUCCAAGCCCUAGCGCGAACUUCAACUUUUCUAAACUAACUAAAAUCUUAUUUGAUCCCAAUUAAUUACCCAAAAACGAAAUAAAGUAAUUGGGUAAGGAAAAGACCAUAUUGCCCUUCAAAAAUUCGGAUUAGACUUUCCUAAAUUGAACAGCUCAACUUCAAAUGGGAAUAUCUCACUCAUACGAACUCGGAACCGCCCAAACUCGGCGGAGUUGGAAAGAUUAUUCCAAGAUCUUUCCUACAACAUCUGGAAACACACCUAACUCAUCCUGAGCUAUAAGUUAUGGUCGUUUGAAGUUGACCAAAAAUCCAACUUAACAUACCUAACAAAUUUUCCAGAUUUUUAUAUUCUUUCCAAAAAUGACUAUUUCACUUAUUAACUUCUAUCUAGUUCUUUCUAGUUACGGAGAGUUACAGAUUUAAAGUAUUAUUAGUGUAAUUUUCAAAUAUAUAACAGGUUAAAAAAAGAGUAAGACAAAAUUAAAAGGAAAAAAGUGCAGAAUUAAUGGUCAAAUUAAUAUGACGCAAAUGAAAUUUGAAGAGUCGGUCAAGUAUUGUAUAUAUUUUUUUUUUAAAAUUAAGUUAUUAAUUAUUGUGACUAAUAAUACUUUUAACAUCAUUUUUAUAAAUAAUAUAUGUUCCUUCUUUUAUCCUAAUUUAUGUGGCACAAUAGAAUUUAGAGAGUCAAGCAUUUUUUAUAUAAUUUUUCAAUAUUUGAACUUUUGUAAUGGCAAUUAUGAUAUAUAGUAACGCUCCAUGCUAUUUGGGGCGUACAUAUCAGUUUGAUUUAGUUUUCUAUUAAACUAAAUCUAAAUUAGUCAUGUCAAUUUAUUAAAUUUUAAAAUCAAAUAAAAUCACAUAAAGUCAGGUUUUUAAUUUUGGUUUUAGUUGGUUUUUUCAAUUUUUUUCAAUUAUAUGGUGAUUGAAAAAGAGAUUAAAUAUACUUUCACUUAUCGGUGUGAUAAGCUAAACUUUAAAAACGUUAAAUGAAUAGAAAUCUUCAAAAAGGCGGUAAAAUUGAUAUGAGUACAAAAUAAUUCUGUUGAAAUCAUUAUGUUAAAUUUAUAUGAUUAAAGGUUCCAGUCACACUGGAUACAAAACAAAAUAUUUACAGAGUAGAUAGUUAACUUCGAAUUUAAAAAACUAUAUUGUAACUUCCGAUUUGAAUAUAAAAUAAAAUAUUUAUAAAAGUUUACAAGUCCAAAUUUAAAAUAAUAUAUCUAAACAUUGAAAACUAUAAAUUAAUAAAAAAUAUAUUAACAAAAUAGAUUAUAACUAAUUAUUUUUAUCUAUAAAUUAAAAAUAAAAUAAUAUAUAUUAUGUCGGUCUGGUUUGGAUUUGGUUUGAUUUUUUUUCUUUUAAGAUAUUUCAGUUCGAAAAAAAAUUUGAUGACUAGAUCACUGAUCUAAUUUCUUUAAUCACGAGUAAUUGAGCUUUAGUUGAUUUUUUUUUCUUUAUCUACUAAAAUAUUUCAGUUGCUAAAAUUGAUGACUAGGUCACUAAUCUAAUUUCAUAAUCACGAGUCUAUUAUUAUUAACGGAUUUCUAGUUGAUUUUUUCUCUAUAACUACUAAGAUAUUUCAAUUCGCUAUUGAUCUAUUUCUUCAAUCACAAGUCUAUUAUUUACUGGAAUAAUCUAGAAUAUCUCCAACACACAAGGGUAGGUCUUUGGACUGAAUUUGUUGCUAUCCUUGAUAUAUGGAAAACAUCUACAUCCAAACACUUUUAAGCUAUUGUAAUCAGGUUGUUCCCCAUACAACUUAACAAAUGGAGUCACCAUCUUUAGGACUGAGGAGGGCAGUCUAUUGAUGAGAAAUACUGCAGUGAGGAAAGCCUCAACCCAAAGAAACAAAGGUAGAUUAGCAUGAAGUAGUAGAGUUAAGCCAGUCUCCACAAUAUGCCUAUGUUUUUUCUCUGCAACUCCAUUUUUUUCAGGUGUGUUAGGACAGGAAAUAUGUCUCACGAUGCCACAAUCUUCCAAAUGCUUAAUGAAGUCUGUUUGGAUAAACUCACCAUUUCCAUCACACUAAAAAAUCUUAAUUUCUUUAGAAAAUUAUUUUUCCACCAUUUUCUGAAAUUUUAUAAAGACCUCAAAGAAUUCAGAUUUCUUUUUCAGUGGAUAAAUCCAUGUAUAUCUCGUGUGAUCAUCAACAAAAACAACAUAAUAUUUCAUAUGUUGGGAAGAUUCGACAGGAGCAGGUCCCUAUAAAUCACAAUGUAUUUUCAAUAAAGGUUCUUUAUCAAUUUUAUUUCUCAAACCAAAUGAAAGUUUACAACUCUUUCCCAACUGACAACUGAAACAAACAGUAGGCAUUUUAUUUCAACUACUAAUAUUGAUGCAACUAUUACUAUUCAAAACUUUCAAAGACUUCAAACUAGGAUGUCCUAAUCUAGUAUGCCACAUGUUAUCUGACGUGUUUCAAUCAUGUGCAGCAGUCAAAGCAUAGUGAUUGUUAUCUUCCAAAGCAUAGAGUCCAUUCCUUUUAGUUCCCUUGGCCAGCAGUGUCCUUGUCUUCUUAUCCUUUACAACAAAGUUAUUUUCAUCAAAUUCAAGAGUGCAACAAUUAUCCUUUGCAAGCUUACUAAUUGAGAGUAAAUUUUUAUUAAUCUUAGGGCCUAUAAGAACUUCUUUUAACUUUAGACCUGAUCCGGAUAUGUUUCCAACAUGUGUUAUAACUAACUUUGAUCCAUUCCCAAUAAUGAUUUUAUCUGUUCCAUUGUAGUGUUUAAGAUCAGUUAGGAUACCUGAGUUAUGUGUCAUAUGGCUACUUGCUCCUGAGUCCACAUACAAUGUGUCAUCAGUAGUGUUUUGUAGAUUAGUAGCAGUCAAUGCUUGUGAUAGCUCAUCUGCGGCUUGGUAAGAGUAAUCUCACCUGUAAAAACACUUAAGAGCAGUAUGGUUAUUCCUACCACAGAUUUGACAUGCAUCAGUACUGUUCCUCUUAUGACUUCCACUUGAAGAAUUGUUCUGAGGACCUGAUCCGUUUCAGUUGUUAUAAGAACCUGUUCCUUGGCCAGCAGGCUUAAAGUCUCUUCCUCUAGAAUUGAAAUUAUUGUUUCCUCUUCUUUGAGAGUAGUUUCCUCUUCCCCUGCCUCUUUGGGCAGAGAAUGUCAUGUUAUGAUUUUGCAUCCUCCCUCAUAUCAAAACCCCUUAGAGCAUUAACAAAUUGAUUAAGAGUAGGAUAUGGUGUCUUACCUAGCAUGACAGUCCUGAAGGUCUUGUACUUAAGACCUAGACCUCUAGCAAAAUUAAUCACUUUGCUAUCUUCAUCUACAGGCUUGUGAAUGGCUGCAAGGCCAUCGCAUAUGCCUUUGAAUUCCUUAAUCUAAGGUGAGAACAUUUUUCUUAUUGGUUUCAUGUAUAUGAGUGUCUAUGGAAAUUCUUUGUGGGACUGAAAAUGUCAUUGUCUCUUCCUUCUAUAUGCCAAAAUAGUGAAUUUUGAAGUUUUAUUCAGUAAAUUCAAUGAUCGAAAGUUCUGUAAUGCCAGUCAUUCUAACUAUUUUUUUGUUUGAAUGGAUUGUUGUCACUUUUUUCACGUUUUUGAAUGAAUUGUUUCUUUUAUUUUUAUAUAUGGUUAAUAACCGAAAAACCGAACCAAACCGAACCAAAACCGAAAACAACCAAACCGAUAAAUGUAUAUUAUAUUUGGUUUGGUUUGGUUUUGAUAAUUUUAAAACCGAUUAAGUUGGUUUGGUUUUGGUUUUGACUAGUAACCGACCCAAACCAAACCGUGAACACCCCUAAUUGUAGCUCAUUUUAAAAAUAAUAAUAAUAAUAAUAAUAAUAAUAAUAAAAAAUAUGAUAUAAUAAUAAUAAUAAUAAUAAUAAUAAUAAUAAUAUUCUGGCUUACAACACUUGGUAUUAAUUGGUCAAAGUAUGUGAUUUUAAUUUUUGUUUUGGAAAAAUCAGUAUAUGUCUGAAUUUACCAAAUUGAGGUAUUUAAACGUACAUUCUCAAAUUGAAGUGUUUAUUUGUUAUCUAACUAAGGCCAAACUUAAAUGUUUGUUUCAAUAUUACUUAGAACACCUUAUGAGUCCAAAUCUUUAUCAAAUGCAAACUCUCUUUGUUCCCAAAAAUCGUAUGCUAACGUAAUUAAAAUUAUUGAAAUCAUAAAAGAAUUAAAACAAACAGCAUUAACAUUAUUCACCCAUAUAUAAUUAAAUAGAGGUAUAUCCAAUUAUUUUUAUAUAUGUACUCGAUACCGAACCACUGUUUACUUAACAUUUAUCCUCGAACAUCACAUUGACAGGUUCAAUAAACAACAAGGUAAUCAUAUCCUUAAAUUCGCUUCGGGUAUUUAUAAAAUCGCCCUCUUUGAAAAUAUAUGCCAAGCGUGCAAAAUUUAUAACUUGUUCGAGGACAAAUAUUGGUACUUCAGAAGGGCUGAGGAAUUCCUCGUUCAUGUCUUUCCAUGCAUUAGCGAGUUUCUGCAUUAGCGAGUUUCUUUUGAGCCUCAACAUAUGCUUCUUGCUUUGAAACUCCGUGUUCUUUCAUGUAGCAUUCAAUGAAUGAAGCUACAUGGCUUCUUUGUUGUUCGAACUGCAUGCAUAAAAAUAGAUUUCAAUAUGUUGGAGUUGGAUUACGGGUCGUCCAUGUGGGCUAACUCGAUCCUAUUCAGAAAAUAUAAAUUAAAAGGAACAGAAAAGAAACAUGUCUAUAGUGGUAAACCUAAUUGUUUAUUAUAAAUUUUAGCAAUUUUCAUCGAGACACAUAGCUAUUUAUUUAGAAUUGGUGUUCAACACUUACAUCAUUUGUAUUAAUAUCGUCCUUUAAUCUGCCGAUUACUGAUGAAGCUCGAAGAAUCAAAGGCUCAUUUAUUACCCAUUCAAAUGUCUCUUUGGUAAUAUUUUCCUCCAUAACACACAAGAAAGUUGUUGCAGCCAUCAUAACCGUAGUACUUACAAUUGCAAUUUUCAUGUACUCCUCACAUUUUGGAAUAUAGACAUCAUUUAACCAUAGUGCUUCCUUGAGAUAUGCUCUAGCUACUUUCUUCAUCUAAUAUAGGAGUUAAAAGAAAACUUAGAAUCAGAUAAUGUUAAAGACAUAAUCAAGUAAAUAAAAAUGUGUUCUCUUUUUUUAAAAAAAAAUUGAACUUUUGAACGACAUAGUCACACGAUAUAAUUCUCAUGGCAUCAUAGUUGAGACAAAAUCUUUACAUACUUGGCACAUUAAACAAGAACCAAUUUCUCAUGUAAGGAGCGUAUUGAAGGCAUAAUAAUAAAUGGCAAUGUUAAUGUUUGAUUUAAAAGAAAUAAAGCUAAGGGAGCUUACCUCUUGUUUUGCAUAGUAGAGACAUUCCAAUUUACUUUCUUUGGUCAAUUCUUCUUCUAUUUCAUCAUAACGGUCUAGAAGAGUUCGAUAAACAGGUCUCAAAUUGGGUGAUACUAAAUUAAUGGCACUUAUGUCAUCACAUCUGCAUGUUAAGAGUUUGGAUCGAAGUUACAAACUAAAAUUUCUUAUUUAUACAAAUCAUCUCAUAAUAGUAACAUGUCCUUGACACAUUUUAUUUUCCUACUCAUUUGAACGCGUGAGAAAAUCAUUAGUGUAUAGUUUAAUUACCUAUCGAUUGCAUUUGUGAAAGCCACAAGUUCAUCAUAGGUUGCAUAAGUAUCAUAUGUGUCAUCAAUAAUGACGUAUGUCGUGAAUAAUUUUGUCAUCAUUUUUCUUGCACGACUAUGUUGAACUUCAAAGUACACACCAGCUACCCAAAAGUAACACUCCACCAUUCUAUCUCUAGCAUAUGGAAAUUGCUUCGCGAAAUCUUGAUUUUUUCACCACCUAUAUGGUCAAAGAUGGAGUUAGAAUUGUCAUUAAGAAUGUUCAAAAUAUAAAAAUCGAAGUAAACUUACAAAAAAAAUCAAUAGUAUACAUCAUUUACUAUAUAUACAUAAAUGACAAGGAAAGAGUAAUGUAUGUACCUUGUAAGCUCGCAAAGCUCUCCUUGAUGCAACUUUUGUAGAAUAUUAAAAUCCAAUUUUGCAAAUCUCAAAAGCAAAUCACUAUGAGAUUCAAUGUUCUCAUAAAUACAUAUGUAUUUCCUUGCUAACAACCUUGGUAAAUUUGUAUGAAUGGGCUGGCUUAAGGCUUCACUAACUUGGGCCUUGAGUAAGUUGCUCAAUUUUGGGACCAUGGACUCUAGAUGAGUGAUGGUAAAAAUUAGAGCUUCUUCAAAAAUCUCUUCCUCGUGUAUUCGUAGAUGUGUUGCUUCAUAUAAACUUAAUAAUCCAUGAACAUCUUUAAUAAGAUUUUCCUUGAACUUUUCGUCAUGGUUAGUGAAUUUCUUAAACACAUCUGAUUAAUUAUAUUGAACAUCAUAAGAGAAUUAACUAAAGAAUCGUAUACAAUGUUGGAAUAUAAUUAAGGUGAGCUCUUUUAGGAUAGAAGAGAAGAAAUAAACUUACCAGAAGACAUGUAAUGUCUUUGUUGUCUCACUAGUCGAAAACGAAGAGCAACGACGUAAAGAUCGUCAUCAUCUUCAUUUUUACUUUGUUUGGAUUCAUCAAAAAUAUUUUGAAUGGAUGUUUUAAUUUCAUUUUUGAAAUGAUAUGCCACUCCUAGUCGUUGGAUUGUAUCAAUCAAGACAAGUUUUUGUGUAGUAUUAUCUGGUGUUUCAACUAACAUUUUCUUGACUUUUUCUUUCAACUCUUCAAAUUCAAUUUUUUCUUGGGUACUAAUUUUCUGCACCAAGAAUUAAGCCUUAAUACAAAACAAAAACAAUACUAAAAUGAAGGUGUCAUGUGUGAUUGGUCGAAAUGCUUUAAAAAAAAUCUAUACAAAAAUAAGUUUCUUAAAGAUAAGUAAAAUGAAUAAAGGGGCGAGAGAAACAUGAUCUAUAUAGUGUUUGUCUAAAUUAUAUAUAAAUAUUUUUGAGAUAAUAUAUUUUGUAUACUUAUCAAAUAGAGUUAAUGGUCAAAAAACUAUACAUAAAAUAUCAUAUUUUGCGAGUUUUCUACCUAAACUAUCAAGUGUUCACAUUUUCUACCUGAACUACAUCAACUAUUUAUCAAAAUAUACCUCAAGUUCAAUUAUCAAUUGUUCCUUUUUUUCUACAUGAAAUAUAACUAUCGUUCAGGUAGGAAAAGAGAAUAACUGAUAGUUGAUGUGUGUUUCGAUAAACUUUUGGUGAUAGUUCAAAUAGGAAACUCGCACAACUGAGAGUACAAGUAUGAAACUCGAAAAAUAAAAAACAUGAAUAUAAUAUGAGUAUAUUGUAUGUCAUACCGUGAGUUGAGGAGUGUAAGAGAGGAAAUAAUUUUCCCAAACAGUUGAGUGAAAAUUUGCCAAUGGACGUUUAAUAUUGCCGCUGGAAGAAUCAACCAUUGCUACACUCAUUUUUAAUUUACUCAUAUUUUUCUCUCUUCCUUUUUUUCCCUAAAGGGACAUGUGAAUAUUUAUGUGGUAUUUUGAUUACUUUAGAAUUAGAAUUAUAGGACAGAAAAUUAUUUCCCCAAAAUGUUGGUUGAACAUUUCUCAAAUGACAAGAGAUUGUAGAAACAAUCAUUGUUUUUUUCCUCUCUUUUUAUACAAUUAAUUAAUUAAGCUGUGAAGUAUUUAUAGUAAAGGUGUGAUCACUGCACCAAAAAUAUCUUUACCGGUAUUUAAUUAGCGUGCUGUUAAAUAUGUAUUUUAACGGUAAUUAGCAUUCUUUAAAUGUUUCUAAAUCCUAUAACGAUAUUUGAUCUAAUGACAAUUAAUUAAUAUCAGUAAAAACUUUAACACUAUUUAUUAAUAUAUAUAUUACCGCUAAAAAUUAUUUUUAUUGUAGUGGAUAUCUAUACCUAAAUCCAAGGAAAAUGAAGAACCUGAUCUACGAGUUAUUGGAUAAGAAUUAAAGAAUUCAUUGGGUCUUCUUGGUUUGUGUAAUACACGGUAUAUGUGGAAUUAUCUGGUUUGGUGUUAGUGACACAUUGAAAAUUUAAUGUCAAUAUACAGUCAAUUUUUUUUAUAAUAUUCAUAUUUUAUAUUAAUAUUAUUUCAUUAAAAUGAAGUUUUUUUUUAAUUAAUUUUUUAUAUUUGUCAAUUAUAUAUUUUUGGUUGAAGUGUUAAAAAUAUAUCUAAAUUAUUUUAUUUUAAAAAACUUCAUACUUAAAUUAUUAAACUAGUUUAAAUCGAUACCUAAACUAUCACUCAGGCGGAAAAAUGGGUUCCAAAGCAUUUAUGAUUCUGGGCCUUUUUUUGGCCAUAUAAUUAUGGACAAAUUACAGAAAUCAAAUACUUUUAAGGUAAAAUUACAAUUUAUUCUUCAAAAGUUUAUAAUUACAGAAAUUCCUUAAACGGAUACAAUAAUAUAAGCGCUGAUACAUUAAUUUGAUGCGCGAGGUACAAUAAUAUAAGUGAUGAUACAUUAAUCUGAUGUGUGAGAUACAAUAAUAUAAGCGCUGAUACACUAAUCUGAUGGGCGAAAAUGAGGGAUUUUGGAGAUUUGUAAAACUUAUAGGGGAUAAUGGUAAUAAGUAAACUAAAAUGUGGAAUUUCUAUAAUUUUUCCUAUUAUUUUUUAGUUAGGGAGUUGGCUACUGUAAGAUUGUUUCUCCUUAUAUUCUCUUUUUUUUUAAAUAAAUGAAUACAAUAAAACCUCUCUAAAUUAAUACAGGCGGGACCAUGAAGUAUUAUUAUUUUAUAGAGGUAUUAUUUAAUUGAUAAAUUAAUAUUUAUUAAUUUAAAGAGUGUUUCGUAAAAACUGUUUAGGGAUAAAAUCUCAAAGAAUUUGAAAGAACCCAUUAGUGAAAAUGUCAUUCGUGAACUUGAGGUCAUGAUUAAUGAUCUUGGUUACCACUAGGGGUGUUCAUGGUUUGCAUAAAAACCGAUCCAAACCGAAAAACCAAACCAAACCGAUUAAAUGAACCAAUUUAAUUUGGAUUUUGGUUGGUUUGGUUUUAGAUUGUUAAGAACCGAUAGUAUUUGGUUUGGUUAUGGUUUUGUUCGAAAAAAAUCGAAGAAAUAACCGAACCGAACCAACAAGUUAUAUACAUAAAUUUUAUUAUUAUACAUACAUAAUAUAUUAUAUUCAUAAACAAUUUUAAAGAUUUUAUAUAUGUUUCAUCAAAAUUUAUUUUUAUAAUUUACUUAUGAAAGAAAAAAUGUCCAAGGUGAGAACAUUUUUCUUAUUGGUUUCAUGUAUAUGAGUGUCUAUGAAAAUUCUUUGUGGGACUAAAAAUGUCAUUGUCUCUUCCUUCUAUGCCAAAAUAGUGAAUUUUGAAGUUUUAUUCAGUAAAUUCAAUGAUCAAAAGUUUUGUAAUGCCAGUCAUUCUAACUAUUUUUUUUGUUUGAAUGGAUUGUUGUCACUUUUUUCACGUUUUGAAUGAAUUGUUUUUUUUAUUUUUAUGUAUGGUUAAUAACCGAAUAACCGAACCAAAACAAACCAAAACCGAAAACAACCAAACCGAUAAAUGUAUAUUAUAUUUGGUUUGGUUUGGUUUUGAUAUUUUUAAAACCAAUUAAGUUGGUUUGGUUUUGGUUUUGACCAAUAACCGACCCAAAUCAAACCGUGAACACCCCUAGUUACCACAAUAUAAUGGAUGUUAAUAACCUAUUGGAAGGGUGAAAAUGAUACAUGUUUAGAGGUCCAGAGCUUAGAACGAAUUGUGGAUAUCAUUAGAAACACAAUGUUGAUGAUAAAGUUGAAGAUGAUACGAUACAUUUGGAACCAGUUACGGGUAAUUAAGGAGACACUUGCAUCUAGAACUCUUCACGAUUUUAUGGUGCAAUUAGAAAAGAUAACAUCGAAACUUCUAGAUGCAAUAAGAAAAGUUGGAAAUGAGCUACAACUAGAUUUAAAUUUUAACAAAAAAAACAGAACAUAAUAGAAUCAUAAUUUACUAAAUUUUCUUAGAUAUAUUUGUACUUUUAAAGAAUUAUUAAUUUAUAAUAUUAAUGGGACCAUAUAUUUAUAUAGGGGUUUUCUGAAAAUAUAUUAUCUUAUUAUAUUAUCGAAAUGAAUGAUUUUUUUUCAUUGGCCCAAGUCGGGACCGGAGGAAAUUAUUAUCUUAGAAGAAAGAUUAUUAAUUAAUCGAGAAUUAAUUUAGCAAAGUUUUACUGUAUCUAGUAAAAUUAUUUAAAUCUUUCUAAUUAGCGGUCCACUAAAUUAAGUACUAAAGUUUCAUGCUUCUAUAUUCACUUAUGCUUGCUAUAAUUAGUAACGACUAACAAGUAUGAGUUAAAGCCAUGUUUAGUACUUACGUAUAUAAUAUAGUAGUCACUAUAUAUGAAUCUUCACAUCUUUAUAAAUUGACACUAAUAGUCGUACACCCACUAAUAUAUGAUCAGAGAACCAAAUAGGUUAUUAUUUAAUUAAGUUAGCAGCUAAUUAAAUAUAUUGUUUUAGAUUAAGCACCUAUAUAUAGGAUGCUCUUUUUUUCUUCAAUUUCCUAAUCUGCUCUUGUACGCCAAUAUUAACAUUGACGAUUAGAUCACUUCAUUAAUUUUCUGGUCACGAAUCUAUUAUAUUAUUAUUAUUAACGAAACUCUAGUUGAUUUUUCUUUCUUUAAGAUCAAUUGCUAAAACUGAUGACUAGGUCACUCAUCUAAUUCUAUAUAUAGUCACAAGUCUAUUAUUAUUAUUAUUAUUUUUGUUAAUAAGAUACUUAUAUUAAUAAAUAAUAUGCAUCAAUACAUGGGAAAGACAGUGCUAGACCCCUCCUAGUAUCGUCCAGGGCGGGGGAGUUACAUUGAGUUUAUAACUAUUACAUAAGUUGGAAGUAUUUGGUGACUUCCAUAUCCUACCAAAAUGAGUUCCUCCUUUGUUUGCUUCUAGUUUAUUCGAGACAAAUACCGGUGGAACUUCGUGGUACAAAAAGGAACUAGCUUGCUUCAUCUUGGACCCCUCCCUUGUUAGAGCAUCUGCCACCCGGUACCCAUUCUCCAUUCGAGUCUCUAUUAUUAUUAACAUAUCUUUAGUUGAUAUUUUUUUUGUUCACCACUAAGAUAUUUUAAUUAACUCGCUAUUGAUCUUGCUGCUUUUUGGAGCUUAUUGUAAGAAUUAUUAUUAUGAAAUAAAAGCCAUCAUGUAAUGUUUGUUAAUUAUGCUAUAUGGUAUGAUAAUAUUUUCC
Molecule: long non-coding RNA, 38085 nt
Filed under: Solanum tuberosum (potato)
Lineage: Eukaryota; Viridiplantae; Streptophyta; Magnoliopsida; Solanales; Solanaceae
Description: long non-coding RNA (STUB_LNC009483)
Source: RNAcentral